RNAcentral lists this ribozyme (77 nucleotides) under Crocodylus porosus (Australian saltwater crocodile). Its description in RNAcentral is "Mammalian CPEB3 ribozyme (ENSCPRG00005003369.1)". It matches the Rfam family "Mammalian CPEB3 ribozyme". Rfam says of the family: The mammalian CPEB3 ribozyme is a self cleaving RNA located in the second intron of the CPEB3 gene which belongs to a family of genes regulating messenger RNA polyadenylation. This ribozyme is highly conserved and found only in mammals. Lineage: Eukaryota; Metazoa; Chordata; Crocodylia; Crocodylidae. The record is from Rfam by way of RNAcentral.
GGUUGCAAGUUUGAGGCCAUAACUGAAGUACUCACAGCUCAGCCCUGUCAGAUUCCAGUGAAUCUGUGAAUUCUGCU